Molecule: ribosomal RNA, 497 nt
Filed under: uncultured bacterium
Lineage: Bacteria
Description: partial 16S ribosomal RNA
Rfam family: Bacterial small subunit ribosomal RNA
Source: RNAcentral
GAUGAACGCUGGCGGCGUGCCUAAUACAUGCAAGUCGAGCGAACAGAUAAGGAGCUUGUUCCUUUGACGUUAGCGGCGCACGGGUGUGUUACACGUGGAUCACCUCCUUAUAAGACUGGGAUCACUUCGGGAAACCGGCGCUAAUACCGGAUAACAUCUUGAACCGCAUGGUUCAUUAGUGAAUUGCGGCUUUGCUGUAACUUAUAGCUGGAUCCCGGCCGUAUUAGCUAGUUGGUGAGUUAACGGCUUACCAAGGCGACGAUACGUAGCCGACCUGAGAGGGUGAUCGGCCACACUGGAACUGAGACACGGUCCAGACUCCUACGGGAGGCAGCAGUAGGGAAUCUGCCGCAAUGGGCGAAAGCCUGACGGAGCAACGCGGCGUGAGUGAUGAAGGUCUUCGGAGCGGAAAGCUCUGUUAUCAGGGAAGAACAAAUGUGGAAGUAGCUGAGCACAGCUUGACGGUACCUGAUCAGAAAGCCACGGCUAACUACGUG